UUCAGGAAGGGGAGGGGAGGGGAGAGUGGCUUGUGGAGAGCUUGCAACUUUGUAUCUGCUUGAACAACCUCUCCAGUCGGAUGAAUCAAAGGCUUAAAGACAGCCCAGGAUUCGGAGAGGGAUGAUGGAUGGAGAUGGGAGGAGACUAAAAAUCUCCCAUUUCCUAAUGGACAAGUCAGACGCUGAAAGCUGGAAGGAAUUGAAUCAAGAUGAAAUGACAGAAGACGUCUGCAGAGAGGAAAGGAAACAAGACGUUCGAAGGACUCAGGUGCAAACGGAAGCAUUACUGUGCUCAGUCAGCAAACAGGCAACCUCCGGGCAUCCCCAAGUCCUGUCCCAGGUUUGUGAUAGACCCUGGUCUCACCCCAGGGGGCGAUGUGGAG
RNAcentral lists this long non-coding RNA (383 nucleotides) under Rattus norvegicus (Norway rat). RNAcentral's name for it is "long non-coding RNA NONRATT033664". Lineage: Eukaryota; Metazoa; Chordata; Mammalia; Rodentia; Muridae. The record is from RNAcentral.